CACGUAGGGCGCAAGCGUUGUCCAGAAUCAUUGGGCGUAAAGAGCUCGUAGGCGGUUUGUUACGUCUGCUGUGAAAUCUGGGGGCUUAACCCCCAGCUUGCAGUGGAUACGGGCAGACUAGAGGUAGGUAGGGGAGAAUGGAAUUCUCGGUGUAGCGGUGAAAUGCGCAGAUAUCGGGAGGAACACCGGUGGCGAAGGCGGUUCUCUGGGCCUUACCUGACGCUGAGGAGCGAAAGCGUGGGGAG
This 245-nucleotide ribosomal RNA is filed under the name uncultured Actinoallomurus sp. RNAcentral describes it as "partial 16S ribosomal RNA". It matches the Rfam family "Bacterial small subunit ribosomal RNA", at positions 524 to 768 of the family's 1533-position model. Lineage: Bacteria; Bacillati; Actinomycetota; Actinomycetes; Streptosporangiales; Thermomonosporaceae. The record is from RNAcentral.